CACAAAAUGACUCUCGGCAACGGAUAUCUCGGCUCUUGCAUCGAUGAAAGAACGCAGCGAAAUGCGAUACUUGGUGUGAAUUGCAGAAUCCCGUGAACCAUCGAGUCUUUGAACGCAAGUUGCGCCCGAAGCCAUUAGGCCGAGGGCACGCCUGCCUGGGUGUCACA
This 167-nucleotide ribosomal RNA is filed under the name Lonchocarpus vittatus. Its description in RNAcentral is "5.8S ribosomal RNA". It matches the Rfam family "5.8S ribosomal RNA". Rfam says of the family: 5.8S ribosomal RNA (5.8S rRNA) is a component of the large subunit of the eukaryotic ribosome. It is transcribed by RNA polymerase I as part of the 45S precursor that also contains 18S and 28S rRNA. The record is from RNAcentral. Lineage: Eukaryota; Viridiplantae; Streptophyta; Magnoliopsida; Fabales; Fabaceae.